Molecule: small RNA, 30 nt
Filed under: Bombyx mori (domestic silkworm)
Lineage: Eukaryota; Metazoa; Arthropoda; Insecta; Lepidoptera; Bombycidae
Description: ovarian small RNA-27672
Source: RNAcentral
UCCUAACUAUAUCAGGGUUGAGACCCCAGC